UGUACCCUACGGGGCGCAGCAGUGGGGAAUAUUGCACAAUGGGGGAAACCCUGAUGCAGCGACGCCGCGUGAGUGAAGAAGUAUUUCGGUACGUAAAGCUCUAUCAGCAGGGAAGAAAAACCGGCCUUAGGGCCGCCAGACGGUACCUGACCAAGAAGCCCCGGCUAACUACGUGCCAGCAGCCGCGGUAAUACGUAGGGGGCAAGCGUUAUCCGGAUUUACUGGGUGUAAAGGGAGCGUAGACGGCAGCGCAAGUCUGUAGUGAAAUGCCGGGGCCCAACCCCGGCACUGCUUUGGA
This 298-nucleotide ribosomal RNA is filed under the name uncultured bacterium. RNAcentral describes it as "partial 16S ribosomal RNA". It matches the Rfam family "Bacterial small subunit ribosomal RNA", at positions 333 to 630 of the family's 1533-position model. The record is from RNAcentral.